CAGAGGGUGCGAGCGUUAAUCGGGAUUACUGGGCGUAAAGCGCACGUAGUCGGCUUUGCAAGUCGGGUGUGAAAUCCCCGGGCUCAACCUGGGAACUGCAUCCGAGACCGCAUUGCUAGAGUAUGGGAGAGGGAAGCGGAAUUUCUGGUGUAGCAGUGAAAUGCGUAGAUAUCAGAAGGAACAUCAGUGGCGAAGGCGGCUUCCUGGACCAAUACUGACGAUCAGGUGCGAAAGCGUGGGGAGCAAACAGGAUUAGAUACCCUGGUAGUCCACGCCCUAAACGAUGAGAACUGGAUGUCGGGAGGGUUUGCCUUCCGGUGUCGUAGCUAACGCGUUAAGUUCUCCGCCUGGGAAGUACGGCCGCAAGGUUG
Molecule: ribosomal RNA, 371 nt
Filed under: uncultured organism
Description: bacterial SSU rRNA
Rfam family: Bacterial small subunit ribosomal RNA
Source: RNAcentral